GAUGAACGCCGGCGGCGUGCCUAAUACAUGCAAGUCGAGCGAACAGACGAGGAGCUUGCUCCUCUGAUGUUAGCGGCGGACGGGUGAGUAACACGUGGAUAACCUACCUGUAAGACUGGGAUAACUUCGGGAAACCGGAGCUAAUACCGGAUAACAUGUUGAACCGCAUGGUUCAACAGUGAAAGACGGUCUUGCUGUCACUUAUAGAUGGAUCCGCGCCGCAUUAGCUAGUUGGUAAGGUAACGGCUUACCAAGGCAACGAUGCGUAGCCGACCUGAGAGGGUGAUCGGCCACACUGGAACUGAGACACGGUCCAGACUCCUACGGGAGGCAGCAGUAGGGAAUCUUCCGCAAUGGGCGAAAGCCUGACGGAGCAACGCCGCGUGAGUGAAGAAGGUCUUCGGAUCGUAAAACUCUGUUAUUAGGGAAGAACAAAUGUGUAAGUAACUAUGCACGUCUUGACGGUACCUAAUCAGAAAGCCACGGCUAACUACGUG
RNAcentral lists this ribosomal RNA (497 nucleotides) under uncultured bacterium. Its description in RNAcentral is "partial 16S ribosomal RNA". It matches the Rfam family "Bacterial small subunit ribosomal RNA", at positions 28 to 507 of the family's 1533-position model. The record is from RNAcentral.